Heterocephalus glaber (naked mole-rat) is the source of this 5780-nucleotide long non-coding RNA. RefSeq lists it as uncharacterized. Lineage: Eukaryota; Metazoa; Chordata; Mammalia; Rodentia; Bathyergidae. The record is from RefSeq and is a predicted model, not a curated record.
AGGAGGAGAACCCGCAAUAGAGCACAUGGUUCUCUGCUGACGGAUGGAAAUCUUACAGGAGGGCAUCCAUGGGCUCUGAACUGUCUGCUGCCUUUCGUUUAGAAUCUGGCCUCAUAAAGGGAUUUGACAAGUUCUUAAACCUGACUCAAUGUCAUCCAGCCUCCAUAGUCAAAGAAUUCUGUCACAGGAAAGGAUCAAAAAAGCAGCCACCCUUCUUAGAUUGGUAAGAGAAGUCAGGUCACAGAGCUAAGCAUUGUUCCAAAGUUGGGAGAGACAGGCACAUAGAGAGAGAGAGAGUCGUAGUUUACUCAUGUGGAAACCCACUUACAGAAGUUGGGAAACCUAAACUGUGAUUGAUCCAUUCUAAGGGCUCAAUGUGGACAAGGCUAAGAGUUAAAAUCUCCAGGGAACCCAAUCAUAGAAUACCCUAGACUCUUGUAUCUUUUACUUCCUGAUGCUUGACCAGGUUUUCAAGAUAAAUGUCAGAGAAAAAUCCCUUGUGCUUGUGUUCUGGCAGGAGGACAGCUAAAGCAACCAUUUUAAAAUGCACCAGAGCAUCCUGUUCUUAAGAAGGUAUGCCCUCAGGAAAACUAUGCAACCACAGCCUACCCCUCUAGGGGGUUGGUUUUGUUCCAUUUUGUUUUUUGUUUUGCUUUCUCCCUCUCAGGUUUUGUCCAGCCAAAUCUACCCAGGGAAAGGGAAAUAGUCAACACCAGGCCCUGUAGCUACCCUGUCCUCUCUCUAAAUUCAGGGGAACAGGCUCAUCAAAAGACAGAGACCUAACUAUAGAACUAUAGAAUGCUUGCCCUCCCCACACAUUUUACUGUACUAAAGGCCCAUUUACCAAAAUUCCUUGUAAUUAAUGUCCAUUUUUCAAUGACAAAUUGUAUGGUAUACUAAAAGUUCUCUGCCUCUCUCUCUCUCUCUCUCAAACACACACACACACACACACACACACACACACACACACACACACAGCUUGAAAAGACCAAACAAGCAUCAGAACUAGAGUCAGAUAUGACAAGAAUGUAGGAAUUAUCUGACUGAGAAUUUAAAACAACUGUGAUUAAUAUGCUAAGGGCGCUAAUGGAAAAGUAAGCAACAUGCAAGGACACAUGUAAGCAAGUAGAAUGUGAGAUGGACAUUCUAAGAAAGAAUCCAAAAGAACUGAUAGAAAUCAAAAACAUUAUAAAAAAUGAUGAAUGACUUUGAAGGGCUCAUUAGCGGAUAGGGUACAGUUCGAUAUGUAUUUAUUUUUUAAAACAUCUAAGGUAAUCCUAGUAAUAAAUAAAAGGAAGGGGUAUGAUUUUGAAAAUUGACAUAGAUUUUUAAGAUGACAGACAAUUCACAGAAGAGGAAACAUUAAUGGCUAGAGUUUGCUCAACUCCACAAAUUCUCAUGGAAUACAAAUUAUAAUAGUGAGAUACCAUGUUUUUGCAAAACAGAUUGUCCUUAUCCAAGGUGAUAUACUAGUGACACAUAGAUAUCACUUUUUUAGAUGUUGUUUGGACCGCAAUUUGACAGCACCAAAAGUCCAUGCCUUUUGACCAGCAUUUUGACCUUGUUUCAUUUGUCUUAGUCAAUUUAUUCAGGUGUGCGCACAAAGCAGCAAAGAAUAUUUAUUACAACAAAAUUUAAAAUAGAAAAAAAUGGAAACAACUUAAAUGGCCAUCACUAAGGACACUGGCUAAAUUCUACGACGUCUGUGGAAUACAAUGUAGCAGUGAAAAAUAAUGAAGAUUUAUAGGGAAAAGACCAUAUGAAUGGACUUAUGAAAAGACCUCAAAGGGCGAGGGAUUUAGCUCAGUGGUUCUGCCACCUGCCUCGCAAGCAAGUGCAAGGUCCUGAGUUCAAUCUCCGGUACCAAAAAAAAAAGACCUCAAAGACAUAUUGUUAUUGAAAGUUGCAAGUUGCAGAAUACUAUAAAACACUACAAAAAAGCAUCAUAAAUGAACACACAGGACUACACAUUUCUCUAUGUAAGUGAGGUCAUGCAAAUGCAUAUAAGAAUAUCCAAAAAAAAAAAAAAUUAAAGAAAAUCGGAACAGAUUUAUACCCAACUGGUAAUAGCAAUACCUGAGGAAAAGGAAGUAAGUUGAUGAUGAGAGGAUUGUCUUAAUCCAUUUGUACUGCUAAAGAAAAAUAUCACAGACUGGGUAAUUUAGAAACAAUAGAAAAUGAUUUCUCAUACUUUUGGAGGCUAGGAAGUCCAAGAUCGAGCAGGUCAGCAGGUACAGUGUCUGGGGUGGGGCUGUUCCCUGCUUCUAAGAUGGCACCUUGAAUGCUGUGUCCUCCAAAAGGUACAAGUCUUGUGUCAUACUGCAUUCCCUUCAUCAUAUGGCAGAAGACUUGGAGAAGGGAAUAAACCCAUUCCCUCAAGCGCUUUUACAAGAGUCCCAAUCCCAUCCAUGAGGGACCUGUCUUGAUGACUUACCAAUCUCCUGCAGGGCCCAUCUCUUAAUACUAUCCCAGGGGUGACUAAGUUUUUUCUUUUGUUUUUUUUCCCCUGGUACCAGGGAUCCAACUCAGGACUUUGCGCUUGUGAAUCAGGUGAGGUGCCACUGAGCUAAAUCUCCAGCCCAACUGAGUUUUAACUUACAAUUUUGGGGAGAAACAUUCAGCCUAUAACAAGAAUCAAAGGGAUUUUUGUCUUUAUCUGUAUAGAAUUUUUUAUAAUAAGAAUGUAUUCAUGUGUACUUACACAACUAAAAAUGAUUUUUAAAAGAAUGGGAAAGGGGAACAAGACUAUUUGUCUUCCUGAGACGGACAAAUAAAUCGAUAGAACUGACUGAGGAAUUGUGUGUUGGGAGGGAUGGAAUUUUUCCCUGAAGAAAUGAGCACAGUACUCUCCCUUAUGCCUCUAUGUGCAAAAUCAGCUAACUCCUUGGUACUUAGGUCCCACAUAUUUCCAUUGGCUGUGCAGCUCCAGACCUGUCCCAAAGGAGUGUGGCAGCUCACUAGCUCUAUGCCUACUCGCUCAGAAUGUGGGAUGUACAAGCCUGGGGACAAUUAUUCUGGGUGCUAAGCACCCGGGAACCUCAGUGGAACAUGAUCAUCUAUAGUCAACAACUCAAUGUCAGAUCAUUUAUCUUGGCUUUGCUCUAGGGGGGGUUCAUUAUACAGAGAAUAUAAAGCACUUCAUUUUUAUACAGCUUAACAUUUAUGAGUCUACGGCAUCUACAGUUUUAAAAUAGAGACUCUGGAAUAGUUUGAACAUACUAAAUUAGCAUUUUUAACAAAUCAACCAAAGAGAAUUUGUGAGUGACAAGGAUAGUGAGAAUAUAGCAUCACUCAGGCUUAAGAAUUGAGAGACAGUAACACUGAGUCAGGCUGAACAAACAAACAAAAACAAAGCAGGCAACUGGGGAUAGGAAGCAAUCUGGAAAUAAGAAAUGUCUACACAUCAGGCUAAGUGUCAUUACCUCAGUAGAUUCACUUCGCUUCAUCGUUUAUCUUUUUGUUUUUCCAGAUGAGGGGUUAAAUGGGGGAAGUAUGAAUGAGCCCUUCAUCCUCAGAGAAUGUCUGGCUUAAAAUAUUAACCACAGAAACUUUUAUUUUCUUCUGAAACAAUAUUUUUCAUCUCAAUCCAGCUAACAUGAGCGUUUAAAAAAUAUUUUGCUGGCAAAGAUUACAAUCGCAGAUGCACUGGGCCAGGCAUCGCAUUCCCUUCAUCAUUAACUUGAUGAGUGGAGACUUCAUACAGAGGAUCGUAUGCAAGGACCAAGUGUACUGAAAAUGGCAUUAUUGUCUUGGCUCUUGGAAAAUUAUAAUGAGAAAAUAUGAUCAGAUAUUGAGUCCCAGAUCUCAUCACAACAAUUGGAUAAUUUUUUCUGUAUAUGUAAUGUGACUACUGUGACCUAUCAUUUGUAGGUUCUUGGUAGAUUAAAUAAGACACAAUUAAAAUUCUGUUGUUUCAGUUGUUGAAUCCAGGUCUCUCUCUCUCACACAUACAUGGGUGCACACGCACAUGUAUACAUAUUUAAUUGUAUGUUUCUAUAUGCUUGAAACUUUUCGCAGUAAAAAAGUGGAGAAAAACUAUUGCUUCCUUUAAAAUGUCUUUCAGAUUAAUCUUUACUGUCUUCUUCCUCAGACUUCACUAGCUGUGGCUGACAAUUCCCAGCAGGCUUCCCUGACUCCCUGGGAGGCUCAAGCUAUAUAGAGCAGCCAUUUGUCUCUUCUACAGCCAAUCAUGCUCCUCCCCCGCCAUGUCUUCCCAGGUUUCGCCACAAAAAGCCAAACCUCUCGGUUCAGCUUCCCUGGUUCUCAGUAUCCAGCCCCUCCCUCCGGUUUCAUCUUGGUCCUCCCUGACUGGUGGGCUCGCCUUCUCAACACUUUGUUUUCUCCUCUGCAUCUCUGCUCUGGGAAUCCCUACCAGGAGUGUUCUUCCCUGUGGCCUUUACUUGUUUAAAUUGGACCUAUUCAAGGCACACCCUAAAUCUUGCUUCUUUCAUUCAUUCUCUGUCCUCAACAUCUGAAGUUUGAACCACAAUCAUCAAACCUCCUGCCACUUAGACACAAACAGAAUAUCUACAUUAGUAACCAGCAACAACAAUAACAACAAAACAAUAACAAACACUCCUCAAUGAUUCUCUCUCAGCUACUUAAGAACCAGGCAAAGCCAGGCAUAAUGACACACAUCUAUGAUCCCAGCACUCUGGGAGGCUGAGACAGAAGGAUCAUACUUUCUAGUCCAGCCUGGGCAACUCAGGAACUAAAAACGUCCUGCCUCAAAACACAUUUUUUUUUGUUUAAAAAAGGGCUGAGGAUAAGGAUGAGGAAGGAGGAAUGGGUGUUUAUUCUGAGUACAACAGAGACAUUAAACUUACUGUAUCCAGGCUAAAAAAAGGCUGAGGAUGUAUCUCAGUGCAAAGUCCUUGAAUUCAAUCCCCAGUACUGAGAGAAAGAAAGAAAACCAAGACAAAAGAAAAAAGAAGGAACAAGCAUCAACUGACAGAUGUUGGGAUCGAACUCAGGACCUUGCGCUUCCGAGGCAGGCAGCAGAGCCAUUGAGCUAAAUCCCCGGCUGUGCAGUCAGGCAGGCUCUAUUGUAUGGGUGACAUCUGGAAAGCCCUGAAGAAGGGGUCGAACUUGGAACCUUGUGCUUGCGAGGCAGGCAGCAGCACCACUGAGCUAAAUCCCCAGCCCUGACUUUUUUUCUACGAGCAAUGGAUAGCCACUGAAGCACUUCAAGAAAAAGGACUAACUCUAAUGAGUAUUGGAGAAAGAUUGCUUUGGUAUGUUUUGGGAGGAUGGCUAUUGAUGACAGAGGAUUGGCAGCUGGAGACAAUGCUGACAGAGCAUACAGCACCUGGGAAGAAACAAUUACAGACUGAAAGACAAGAGGUAAUGGAGAUACAAAGGAGGAGACAGAUUUAAUGAGACUAACCUGUGAUCAAAUCAACAGAGCUUAGCAACUGAUCAGACCUGGAGAGUGAGGAAGGGGAAUGAAUAAAAUAUAACUCUGCAUUUCUAGCCUGAAUAAUUAAGUGCAGAGCAACAACUUUGACUAGACAGGGGAUACAGGAAGAAGAGGAAGAUCUGGGUUUGUUUCAGGGAGGCGGAAGGAAGGGAAGAAGGAAGAGAGGGAAGAUUAAAAAUGUUAAGUUAGACACAUUGAAUGGGAGGCACUUAUAGCAUGUUCAGGUAAGACAUCUAGCAGGUAGUUAGCACUUUGGGCCUGCAAUCCAGGAUUAAAGAUGGAGUUGGAAAUAUAGUCACAAUUACAAUUAUGAUGUUUCAGUCUUGCUCAUUUUAAAAUUUGGAAAGAAAUUUUUUUUUAA